UACAGAGGUGCCAAGCGUUAGGCGGAAUCACUGGGCUUAAAGCGCGUGUAGGUGGGUCGUUAAGUGUCCGCCGUGAAAUCCCACGGGCUCAACCGUGGAACUGCCGGGCAUACUGGCGAUCUUGAGGCAUUCAGGGGCGAGCGGAACAAAUGGUGGAGCGGUGAAAUGCGUAGAUAUCAUUUGGAACGCCAAUGGUGAAAACAGCUCGCUGGGAAUGAUCUGGACACUGAGACGCGAAAGCCAGGGGAGCGAACGGG
RNAcentral lists this ribosomal RNA (257 nucleotides) under uncultured bacterium. RNAcentral describes it as "partial 16S ribosomal RNA". It matches the Rfam family "Bacterial small subunit ribosomal RNA", at positions 524 to 776 of the family's 1533-position model. The record is from RNAcentral.